GUCGUCAGCUCGUGUCGUGAGAUGUUGGUUAAGUCCCGCAACGAGCGCAACCCCUAUUGUUAGUUGCCAUCAUUCAGUUGGGCACUCUAGCGAGACUGCCGGUAAUAAACCGGAGGAAGGUGGGGGAUGACGUCAAAUCAUCAUGCCCCUUAUGACCUGGGCUACACACGUGCUACAAUGGUUGGUACAACGAGUUGCGAGUCGGUGACGGCGAGCUAAUCUCUUAAAGCCAAUCUCAGUUCGGAUUGUAGGCUGCAACUCGCCUACAUGAAGUCGGAAUCGCUAGUAAUCGCGGAUCAGCACGCCGCGGUCGAAUACGUUCCCGGGCCUU
This 331-nucleotide ribosomal RNA is filed under the name uncultured Streptococcus sp. RNAcentral's name for it is "bacterial SSU rRNA". It matches the Rfam family "Bacterial small subunit ribosomal RNA", at positions 1051 to 1382 of the family's 1533-position model. The record is from RNAcentral. Lineage: Bacteria; Bacillati; Bacillota; Bacilli; Lactobacillales; Streptococcaceae.